AGAACAAACCUGCUGCUUUGCUCCAUAAGUCUGUGAUGAAACAGGAGUUUCGCAGGAUGGCCAAGGCAGUCGCAAACCAGGUAAAUAAACUUUGAAGCUUUGCUCUGCCGAAUGAUUAUUUUACUAAGAACAUGCUUGCAAGUUUUUGUUGCAUUGGUGAUCCUUAACAUGUUAGAAGAUACUUGUUGGUUUAUGCUUUGGUGAUAAGCCUUAACAUGUUAUGUUAGAAGAAUCAUUUGUAAUGAUAUCUUCAGUGAAAUAUUCUUGUUACGCUUCUGAGCGUUUAUUGUCCUUUAAUUAGAUGGGGUUCUCUUUGUUAAUCUCUUAGAUGCAAGUAAGCUUCAUGCCUUUUCUUGGAAAAAUCUGAAAUGGGGUUUAUCUCAAGUAUCUGAAUGAUUACUUUUCUAAGAACAUACUUGUAGGUUUGUACCUGCAGUUAAAGGAUCAUUUUUGUAGUGGUUUCUUCAGUGAAAUACUCUUGUUACACUUAGUUUCUGAGCGUGCAUUGUCUUUUUUUAUUAGAUUAGCUUCUCUUUUUUUUUUUUUUUUAAAAUAUUUAAUAAUAGAAACGAAAUUUAUUGAAAGAAACGAAAAGGAACACAUAAGUGGAUGAGGCAUCCACAAGCCAAACGAACAACAACAGAAAAAACAGACUAAAAAAACAAAGACACCAGCCAAACCACACAGAGACUGCUACACCAGAAAGACCCAAAGAAAACAAGAUGCAAAAAAACACUUCAAAUCACAGCAGCAGCCAUAUCCCUCAGUAUAGUGGAGUAGGAAUAGUCUUUUUUAUUAGAUUAGGUUCUAUUUGUUAAUCUCUUAUAUGUAGGUAAGCUUCAUGCUUUUUCAAGGAUCUGAAUGAUUAUUUUACUAAGAAGUUUGUAGGUUUGUGCUGCAGUGAUGAGCUUUUAACAUGUAAGAAGGAUCAUUUGUGUAAUGGUUUCUUCAGUGAAAUACUCUUGUUACGCUUGGCUUCUGAGCAUCCAUUGUCUUCUUUAGAUUGGGUUCUCCUUGUUAAUCUCUUAUAUAUAGGUAACCUUCACUAUUUUUCUGGUCAAAAUCUGAAAUUGGUUUACCUCAAGGAUCUGAAUGGUUAUUUUUUUAAGAAAAUACUUGGUAGGUUUAUAUUGCAGUGAUGAGCCUUAACAUGUAAGAUAAACUAUUUAUAAUGGUUUCUUCAAUGAAAUGUUCUUGUUACGCUUGCACGCAUUGUGUUUUUAGGGUUUAGUGUUUUUAUUGUUGGUCCCUCAUAUGUUGGUAUCCUUCAAGGAUGAUAAAGUAUUUGUAUUGUAUUGAUUGCAUGAAUCUAUAUUUGCCUUAUCUAGGUUUUCCCUUUUGUUGUUUCUCUGUUAUUCAUUUUGUAUUCCGCAUUGCAGGUGGCAGAUAACUACUACAGGCCAGAUCUGAAAAAAGCAGCCCUUGCAAGGUUGAGUGUUGUUCACAAGAGCCUCAAGGUUGCCAAGUCUGGUGUCAAGAAGAGGAACAGGCAAGCUGUUAGAGUCUAUGGCAGGAAGUGAGUUAUAGGGGGCUGAUACACUAGUGUUCUUUUCAUGAUUUUGGAUUUGAUUGGAUCGUCCUUGAAAACUCAAGAUGUAUUUGGAUUUUGGGGAUUUUAUUUAGUUUGUUUUGCAAAAGAUUCCUGGAUAUAAUUUUUUUUUUCUUCAACCAAUCAUUUAGCAAAAUUUCGGCAUGGACCCUAACAACCAACUUAUCGAUAACCAAUGAAAAUACUCUGUUAAUUUUCAUAUGGUAAUUUUGCAUAUGCCCAACUGCAAACACUCCGGACCGGAGGACAUUAGAGGUUCUCAGAACAACAAAUCACCAUGUCCAAACAAACCAGUUCAGUUUUGAAUGAAGAAAUGUAGCUGAUCAAAUCAAAUAUAGAUAAACUUAAAAAUGAACUGUGAUAAUAUGACAUACAAUUGUUAAAGAUUCGUUGACUAUAUUAUUCCAAUAAUUUCUUGACUUUCUAAACCAACGAAUGAAUGGGGAGCCAAGUAUCAUGACAAUCUGCUGUACAUAUUAUGAGGAGGCUUGCAGUCAAAUAAGGGUCCAAUGCAAAACCACAUGUUUCUGCAAGCUUCCCACCACCAUCAAGAACACAUUCAUCUUAUCUUCGCUGAUAAAUCAAGAUGAGCAGCAGGUGGUCUUUUGGACAACUGGCUGUCCACGCAUAUGCACAGUGGAUGGUUUGUUGACACUCAUUGGUUGGGUAGCUAUCCUGCAACCCGAAGAAAAAAAUAUUUACCGACGCUGUAUAAAAAUACUGAUGUUUUACCAUUGCAGUUGUUCCAGUACAACUACAGAUCACAGAUUUAUCUUACUUAAACUCUUGAUCUGAAAUGCCCGUAUCAAUCAGAAAUAUGACAAAAGUAACAUGGAGAUGAACUCACCUGUUCUUUAUCUCUGCAACCAUAGUCAUGAAUGCCUGCUCUACAUUAGUCGAAUUUUUGGCACUUGUUUCCAAGAAUGGAAUACCUAGCUCAUCUGCAAAUGCCUUUUAAAAACAGCGGGGUUUUGGGGUAAGAAGAAUGUGAACAACAUAAAGUUUGAACACGUAAAGUUGAUCAAUGGUGCAUGCUUAUUUAACUCAUCAUGACUUGAUAACAAAAUAAGAUUAAUUAGCAGCUAAGAUACCUUGCUAGCUUCAGAAGAGACCACUUUCUUGUCAGCUAAGUCACUCUUGUUUCCAACCAAGAGCUUGUUCACAUUUCCAACUGCAAAUUUAUCAAUUUCUUGCAGCCAGGUCUUGACAUUGUUGAAGCUUUCUUGGUCCGUCACGUCAUAGACAAGCUAGCAAAUAAUUUCAAAAACCACAUUCAUGAAGAUCAUCCUAUGAAAAGCUUGCAGGACCAAAAAUCUACAUUAUAAAGAGGUGAAUUAAUACUUACAAUGAUGCCAUGGGCACCACGGUAGUAGCUGCUUGUAAUCGUUCUGAAACGCUCUUGACCAGCAGUGUCCCACUAUUCAGAAGAAAUGGAGAUUUCAGAUUUUUUCAGCUAAGGAACUUCGAUUCCAAUCCCGCCUUAAUAAAAAAAUAUACUUACUAUUUGAAGUUUGACAACUUUCCCAUCCUGCUCCACUGUUCGAAUUUUCUAAAUAGAGGAAACAAAGAGAUGAAAUCACUGCCAUGGCAUCAAAAUAACCACACAUAAGAAGUGAUUUAUUAUGCCACUGUACUUACAAAGUCAACACCAAUGGUACUUAUGUAGCUGUCAAUGUAAGAAUCAUCCUACACAAGGUGAGAGUGGAAUUGUCAAUAAAAGAUCAAAGAAAAUCAGACAUCAGCAUUUGGCUCAACCAACUCUGAUCACAAGCAUACAUUUAUGUAUCGCAUGUUACACAAUAGUUAUGAUUUAAAAUUUAGGACGAAUUCAAAGAGAUGACCGAGGGAGAAGGUAUAAGAAUUUAAUGUGUGUGUAUAAGAGAAGCGUGGCAAAAAGAAAACCAUCAUCCUAUAUAUAACAUUGUUGAACUUUUACCGCAAAUCUCAGUAGAAGGCAUGACUUGCCCACACCGGAAUCUCCAAUGAGCAAAAGUUUGAAAAGAUAGUCACUGCAAAAUGGAGGAAAAUAACUAAUUAGAACCUCAAACUUUAUGCUUCAGUACGGUAACUAAGGGAAAUAACUAAAAUAAAACAUUAACAUAUCAUCAAAUCUUAUUAGCAAAAACACCUACUCUGUCAGAAUAUGUCAACAACUAUGCCCUGCAUAUCUAUUUAAUGUUUCUUCAAAUUGAGACAAAAUUAUACAGGCAGCAAAGAUAUGAAUUCCAUGGCAGCAUAUCAUCCAAAUAACUCAAGGAGAUUAUAGGUGCCUAAGAAAACACCAAGCCACAGCAGAAAGAAUCAUCAUUUCAAAAGUAUGACUAACAUAUUCAUCUUAUUUACCAGAGUCCAUGGAUCUCAUACAUUGUUUUUACAGCUUUUGUAUUCACUACAAUCAAAAUUGCAGAUAGCUUCUUGAAAUGAAAUGUGAUCCCAAAAAAAAGGGAUCCACAAAAUUGAUUUUCGUAAGAACUUUCUUCCAGUUUUUUAAGAUACUACUAAACAAACAAUCUCUAAUCAAAUGGCCAAAUCAAAAGCCAUCCCACAUACCCAAAAGUUGAAAAUAAAAUAACCCUUCAAUAAAAACAAAAACAAAAAUAAGAAUUUCUGGGUUUGACCAAAAUCCAAAUCCAAUCAAAUUGAACAGGGUUAACAUUAUCAACAGCCAUAAAACAAUCACACAGAAACUAAGCUAUGACAAAAAAGGUGAUAACAUGUAGACAUGCAUGCAAUUGUUCAUGAGAGAGAGAGAGAGAGAGAGAGAGAGAGAGAAAUUACUAUUCAGGGAUCAUGACUGGGUUGAUCGAUGAGGAGGAAGUUUCAGAAAGCGUAGAAAUUUUCAACUGGGUCUAAUUAACGUAAAAAUGGAAUCUUAAACGAGGGAGAGAAGUUGAAGGAGAGGACUUUGUUGUGCCUUAUAUAAGGGUGGACAGUUUGCGUCACAUUGAAAGGUUCCUAUUUCCUACUCAGCCGCCAGCUUGGAACCUGACCCCACACAACUUUUUUGGUUUCUCUUCUGGGUUGGUUUAUUUUUAUGGGUUUGUUUACAAGCCCAUUUCGGAAGGCCUGAAUUUUAAGUGAAGAGGGUCUUAUCACUUGUGUUCUGUCAACUUAGCCCAAUUAUCUGUUUACUUUUUUGUUGUUGUUGCAAUUGGAGAAAAGAAACCCUGGAGUUUCGAUCUUAAGUGUCAAGUAAGCAGGGGGGAAGGAGGAGGGACACAACCACUGUGGUAACCUCACUCAACAAUUAUUUGUCUACUUGCCAACUUUUUAUUCGAUUAAUUCUGUAAUAAAAAUAUAUGUUCGACGUUUUAUUCGACUCUAGCUAAGUGAGUUCUUUCACACUUGUAAAAUGAGUUACAAAUGUUAUUUUCAAAACUCGGGUAAAAAAAGUUGACGAGUGUGUUGUAAGGAUUAGUUUUGUUUUACAAAUAGUUACAAAUGUUGUAAAAUAAUGUAGUAGUGGAGUCCCCAAAUGCCUAUAAAAGGCUUCCCCCCUUCCCUAUCAUAGACACACAAUGAGAAGAGAAAACAUUCCCUUCUCUUUCUCAAUUUCUUCUCCCAUUUGUAAGAAACACACAUAAUAGAGAGCAAACAUUCUCUCCAUCUCAAUCCCCUCUCUACAAUUUCCCAUUGAUUUAUAACACGUUAUCAGCACGAUUUCUCUAUCUCUAAAUUCAGAGCCUCAACGCUCUCUCUCUUUCUCUCCGCAAAACUCAAGCAGAGGCUUGCUGGUAUUUUCUUUUGCUGGAUUUUCCCCCAAGGCAGAUCCUUAAAUGUUUUUCCGGAAGUAUACUAGACCAGAUAGAGCUCAGCUCCACACUGUACUCUUUUUCCUUCAUCCAGGUUUUUAUCCCAUUGAGUUUUUCCUGGUAAGGUUUUAACGAGGCAGUGUCACUCAAGGGUUUAGGGUAUACUAUGAAAAUUUUUAUGGUCGAUUACUGGACAAAAGCUAGUCCUAAAUUUUUCAGGGGGAGAUAUUCACAAAGGGGAGCGUGAUUUUAAUAAAGACCUUCAUACACUGUACUCUUUUUCCUUCAUCCAGGUUUUUAUCCCACUGGAUUUUUCCUGGUAAGGUUUUAACGAGGCAGUGUCGCUCAAGAUUGACUCACAGAAGCAGUGUCAACUACGAUAUUCAGAAAGGUGAUCAACAGUAUGACUUAAAGAUAUUUUGCCGAGCAUCAGGGGGAGCGCGCUAUCAAUAAAGAUCUUCAAACACUGUACUCUUUUUCCUUCGUCCAGGUUUUUAUCCCACUGGGUUUUUCCUGGCAAGGUUUUAACGAGGCAGUGUCGCACGCGCAUCAAUAUACAUAGAAUUUUAUGUUACACAUGAUUAUGUACUCUUUUUCCCUUUGACCAGUUUUUGUCCCACUGGGUUUUUACUGGCAAGGUUUUUAACGAGGCAUAUUCUGUAUCAUUUGUGGUCUCCAAGGGGGAGUGUUGUAAAAUAAUGUAGUAGUGGAGUCCCCAAAUGCCUAUAAAAGGCUUCCCCCCUUCCCUAUCAUAGACACACAAUGAGAAGAGAAAACAUUCCCUUCUCUCUCUCAAUUUCUUCUCCCAUUUGUAAGAAACACACAUAAUAGAGAGCAAACAUUCUCUCCAUCUCAAUCCCCUCUCUACAAUUUCCCAUUGAUUUAUAACAACAAAGGACUUGUCUUUGUUUUCUUUGUGGUGGAACUGCUUCUCUAGGAAUCACUUUUGCUAAUAAUCGCUUCUAGUAAAAGAGCUUUUAUUAUAAGGUGUUGAAAUUUUCAUAAGAAAUCAAAAGCACUUGGGAAUGCUUCCUAAAGGAGAAGCACAAGGCAGGUGUUUCUUCGAAAAAAAACUUCUAUGGCCUAUAAGUACUUCUAAACUUUUCUGCCAAAUGCGGUCAAAAACGCUUUUGAUUAUCAAAAAGCGCUUUCAGUUUUCCAGAAGCACUCCCAAACGGGCCCUAAGUAUAUCAACUUUAGUAAUAACAUUCUUCUUGCUUUAAAUAAUAAUAUAAAAAAGCUGGGGUUUGAUUAUAAAUAAAAAUAAAAAAAUGAAAGAAAGAAGGUGUGAUUUUUAAUCCAAAUGAGCUUUUAUUUCCCACAAUAAGAGUUCAAUUAUUGUGGAAAGUUUUAGGCCAAAAGUCACUUUUGGUCUCUAUAGUUUGGCAUUUCAAUCACUUUCGACCUUAUAGUUUUAAUUUCGUCACUUUUGAUCAUGUAGUUUCAUAUUUGUAACAAUUCAAGGACAAGAUAAAAUUUCUUUCAAUUUCUUUAACGGAACAACCACUUGCCACUCAUUUGGAGGGGCACUUUUAUCAGACCAAAACCUCACUUUAAAAAUUGGUCGCUACCUCUUUCCUUGGGCGCAAAAAUGGGCAACCAAAAUCUCAAAAUCCUCCCUCCUUCACUAUCCCAAAUUCCUAGCGCCUAACCAAUCUUUAUCUCCUCCAUCCAUUUCUCUCUCCCUACAGAUUCAGAACAAAACAACAAAGCAAUAACUUUCCAAACCCAAAGUUACAGAACAAAACAAGGCCACAAAAGAAUGGAACAAAAGCAUUGUAACCCACUUAUAUGCAUUGAAAAGUCGAAUAAAUGUUAUAAAACAAUUUCGCACAGAAAACUGUACCUUUAGGCUUUGUUUGGUUUAUGGAAUGAAUUUGAGGGGAAAUCAUUUUCCAAGGAAUGGAAAUGGAAGAUUCCUUUCCCACGUUUGGUAAUGCUAGGAAAGUAACCGGGAAAUAUCACUUUAUUUCCUUUCCCAUGUUUGUUUUGAAUAGGAAUGGAAACAAAAUUUGUAUAAAUUUUCAAUUAUACCCAUAUUAAAUCAAAUAAAAAAAGAAUGCAUUUAAUAAUAUAUUGUAAUUCUAAAUUGUUAAUGGGGAUAAAAUGGUCAUAAAAAAUAUGUAUUUAAUGUUAGCUCAUUUUCCCAAACUUUCCCAUGAGAAGGGUAAACAAAACCCAAGUUGGGAGGAUGACUUCACUUUCCCCCUACUUUCUCAUGAGUCAGGAAACGAUUUUCCAUACCUAGACUUACCAAACAUGGGAAAGUAAUUGAUUUCCCACCCCAAGUCUCCUUUCCCAUGAACCAAACAGGGCCCUAGUGACUCCUUAUAAUUUAAUGUUGCUUUGUUUUAUGCAUAUUUUAAACUUUUAAUUAAUGCUAAUUAUAAUAUUUACGACUCCCUAAACUAGAGAGUAUGAUUAGAGUUCAAAUUUUAUAAACAGUUCAUAAAAUAGCUUUUAUGUGUUUUUCGCUAAAUUUUAACUAAAAAAUAAAGAGUAUUAUUAUAAAUGCUCUUAGCCCAACUUUAAAAAAUAAUAAUAAUCACAUCAGCAAACUACAAAGACUUUUGCCACCAGAUUGGGAAUAUUACUCAUUAGCCUGUCACAUGCCUACAGUAGCAGGUUAAGGUCUUGGAAAGUAUGCAGAACGCUCGUUUCAUAUAUAUAUAUAUAUAUAUAUAUAUAUUGUUGUUUUUGGGUGAGACAAUUAAAAUAUGGACAGAACUUGGUGAGCAAGUUUUAUAUACAAGAAGUUCUUUAUUUCAAGAAACCCUCAAAUCCAAUCGUGCAAAGAACCGUAACCAGUUCUAUUAUAAAAGAAUAAUAAAAGUCAACAUUACAAUUUUAUGGUCAAUGUUUUUUGCCGGGAAGGUUUUUAACUAAUUAAUCUUUUAUGCAUGUGCUAAUAUCUCAUCUCACAUGCACCCCAUGGUUAAAAGAUGAACAUAUUUAUAUGUUAAAACCACAAAAUAUUUAAUUUUGGUGGACGCUAUCAAUGGAAUAUUUUGAAAGAGUCUUCGUCAAUGGAUUUCACACGCAUUAGAUUCGAGAACACGAAUGUUAAUUACUUGCCUUAAUACAAUUCUCUAUCUCCUAUAAAUUAGACCAGCUUGCUGAUUUUCUAGCUACUAUUGCAUCACUUUUCAACCACCCAUUUCUCAGCCAACCAAACCCAGAAGCCAUGUCUGUCAAGAAGAGUCUCUCUCUCAACAACGGCGGAGCUGGGAUGGGUGGUGCAUCUACGAAGAAGACUAAGAAGAGUUAUUCUCUAACCAAUGGUGGGAACGGCGGCGAUGUAGUUACAGCAAAGCGCGGGCGGUUUGAUCGAUGUUUUUCUUUCAUGGAGAUUUCAACAGAACAAGGAAAAUCACUCAAGGACAUGGAUUCGGAGAAGUUGAAAUCUGGGAUCAGGAGGUGGGCUAAGGCUGUUGUUGCUUACGCCCGCCAAGUCAGCGGCCGCUUCGGAGGCACCCGUGGCUGACUGAUGACAAGCCUAACUGUAAGUGCCUAAUGGAAGUAGUUCUGCUUUGAACAUAGUGAAUAUCAAAAUGAUGGAGUUACUUGAAUUGUAACUCAAUUUUCCAUGCUGAUAAACGUACAUAGGAGAUUAAGAAAUGAAUGAUUGAUUGGUCCUUGUAUGUAAAUGCGCCCAAUGAUGUAAAUAGUUGAUUUUUCCAUCCAAAAUAAGGCCUGUGUCAAGCCAAGUAUCCAAAUUGCAUGCUAUUUUGUUAAUACUCACAAAAAGCAAAAACAAUUUUUUUGCACUUUUCUGUUAUAUUUAGGUGAAAUUGGAAUUUAAACCAUCCAAGGAAAAAGAAAUUAUAGCCAGUACUAUACAUCUACUUACAAAACCAUUACAACCCACCAAAAGAACAAACAAAAACGAAACCAAAAUUUUUGUGCUACUGCAGCUCAACUCUAGAAAGCCUAUUUGUGGCUUAGUUUCUAACUUAUGAGAAGACAGCAACGAUAAAACCUCUACUCCCUGACCUUAUUGUGACUUUUUAAGUUCACCAAAUGUCGCCCUCUCACCAGAAAUGUUCCUCAAAAGCUGUUUCGAGCACAUGUUCUCAGCCGUCGUUGCAUCUUUCACACGGUCGGCCUUCACCCAAGCCGGUUCCUGCAAGAAAGUUUUAUGAUAAUAUAAUGAUCAGCAUCUUCCUUUUAACCAUUACAUGUUAUAAUAACAAGAGAUGAUGUAAAUUUGGAGUAAGCGUUCACCUCGGGAACAAAGCGGGAGAAUCCAAACUUAAUCAACAAGAGGACAUGUUCCAUAACCAGAAUUGCAGCCAGGCCAGGCUCUAUCUUCCAUUUGCCCUCUUCAUCAUAUAACCAUACUAGAAGCGCACAGUUGGUGCAUAUAGACAUAACGACGAGAAACUACAAAUUGCAGACAACCUGACAUUAGAAAGAUGACGAUAAGAGAGAAAAUGGAACACAUAGUCAACCCUCCAAUUCUCUCCCUUGUUUUAUAUUUACUGCAGAGAAGAAAGCAAAUCUAAUACAGCUGCCAACAAAUAUGUCUCUUUACCUAAUCAAUCCAUUUUGAACUUUCCAGAAUUUAAGGUUGAGCUAUACGAAUUCUAUAUUUUCUUCACAAUACAUAACCAUAAACCAUAAGUAUAAGUACCUGAAAUAUAUUCAGCCAAGCUCCAAUUGUUGUGGAAAAACGAGGAGUUGGUCUUCUCAACAUGGCAAGAAGCUUCAAUGCAUCCGCCCUAAUUUCGGUGAUGUUGUUCUGUGAAAAGUACAACUCGAACAUUAGAAUACAAAAUACUACAAAGCAUAAAGAACUCCAAAUAAACAACCAUAAAGCAUAAUUUACCAAAGUUGCAAAAGCAAAAGCAAGGGGGAAUGCACAAGCAAACAUCAUUAUCAUUCCGAACUGCAAUGCAACCUCCAGAAAGUCUGCAGGUCAAAUCACAGUGCUAAUCAGCAGAGAAUAAAGAAACAUACAAGAAUUCUCAUGAUUACUCGAAACUAAGGAGGAAAAUGCAAAUUUUAAAAACGCCAGACAUAAUUGACAUAUUACCAUCAAACAACCCAUCUUCAAGUUCCAUGCCAAUGCUUGCGGAAUAAGAAGGCUUCAGGUACUCUUUUUCUACCCUAGAAGCAAACUGGAUCUUCCCAGUUGAUGAACCUUUUUCACGUUUUUUCUUGCUCCUUGAAUUCAGAAUGGCAAAUAAGGUCAUGUUCAGAUAAACUUAAAAUCACCCCAAAACAUAAGGGUCCAGAAGAUAAAAACAUAGUAUAGGCUUACCGAAUUCUAUAUUUCUUAUAACUGUACUUGAGAUAUGGCAAAGUAUUUUCCAACAAGUUUUCCAACACCUGGAAAGCAUAGACCAAUUCAUGAGCAUGAGAGGAGAGGUAUAAAAUCAAAACAGUGAAUAAAAUAGAACUCAUUUUACCUGAGACACAAGGAGGCGUUGAAUCAAGACUUUGCGGAGUGUUGAAAAAUUGCGGUGCAAAAGGGCAUGGUAGAAAACUCCUAUAUAUGACUGCAUGAAAUAAAGACCAAACACCUGCAAAAUAAAUUAAAACACAAAAUAAGUCCUUGAACUUUGAAGCGUAGAAAACUCCUCCAAGAAGCAGCAAAGAAGACGCUAGGGAUCGAUCUCCACUUAACACACCUUGUAGACCAAGCUGUCUGCUUUUUUUUCUGUGUUUUCAUUAUUUUCAUACUUAAUGAGCUUGACGGAGAUCUUGCCCCCAAUCUGUGUAAGGAGCUGAAUGGCAAAAAGAUAAAUGGUAGUCAACCCAAACCUGAAAAAUAAAGAAAGGAUAAGUGUCAUUCUCACACUAUAAUUCCAAAGAAUUAAUACCAUAGGAAAAAGAAUGAAUGCUGUGUCUAAAUGAUCGCUACAGAUCAGAAUUGGUUGUGCCCUUAAAUUGGGUUUCUGUUUGACUUAAUAUUUCUAAUUCGACUUUCCCUCUCCUUGUCCAAAGUUUCUAAGCAUGAGGACAAGUGCAGCAGCAGAUACAAACUCUAAAAUCCCAUUAUGUCAAAACCAAUAAACCCAAAAUUUUCCUCCAUCUUAUGUCUAGUAUGCAACCUGAACAGAGUCAAUCUCAGCAAUAGUUCUCAUCCAACUGUCAAUAGCACUCAUGCACAACUGAUGCACCGAGUUAUCAUGCAUAAAAAAUAAAAAUAUGAGCACAAACUCUGGAAUGUUAAAAAUGAUUUUUCAUUGAUGAAAAUAGAAUUAGAUGAAUGUGCAAGUGUAUACAUUCACAUGAAUGCAAGAGGACUCGGCGUCUUACUUCAUAAUAUCAGACCCAAUAACCUCGUAAAUAUGAGCAUACGCUAGUUCGAAUGGUAACUGGAGGCAUAUAAUACUGAAGAUAAUGAUAGCAUCAUUUCGGAAUCUCAUGAGUCGUCCAAACCACUCAAUUCUUUGGAACAUUUCUUUCUCUUUAGUUUUGUCAGUCCCCCAUUUUUUUGCGAUUUCAAUAGACUGUGAGGAACUCCACUCCAUGCCCUGUCUAUAUCCCAGGUCAGCUCUAAUUGGGUAACGAAUCUUCCAUCUAAACACGCAACCAAGAAAGAGAAAGAGGUAAAGUAUGUUAGAAAAAGUAAAAAUAUAACUGAAAAUGAAUAAGCAUAGAUCUGAUAACCACAAGACAAUUUCAUUGUAAAUCAAGCUACCUGGCUAAAAGGGCAUUGUUUUUACGUUUCCAGAACUGGGAAAACAUUAUAGCCCACAAUAUUAUGCUUAUGAAGAAAAUGGGGAGCACCAGUAACUGCAAUGACCUAAGGAAAACAUUAAGCAAACAUACAUCAGUUUCAAUAAGCAGCACUAGUAAAAUAAGUUGACAGCCAACAAGGAAAUUAAGAAAUAAGGAAGAUGACCCACCCAAAAUCAAACAUGUGCAAAAUAAGCCCAAAUGCAGCUGGAAAGAGCAACCACCGAGUGUACAUUCCAAGGAAAGCAAAAUAGAUGGCAAUCUACAAAGACAUUAAAUUCUUGCUUAAUGUUAGGAAAUAGAGAGAAAGAUAGUUUGCUAUUGCUACUAACUCACUUUUGUUCCAAAAUAGGAAUAAAUCUCAUCUAUUGGCUGGUUUGUGAAGUCCCACCAGUGCAGUGCCCACGUCUGAAGGAGCUUCUUCCUUUUUAUUUCAUCUAUCAGUCAAAAAUCAUCUUAAUUUAAAGUUUAACAGAGAUGCACGCAUUUUGUGAAUUUGUAAACAUACCAUGCAAAGGAAACACUUCUUUGACGAUCCUCUCUGACUCCAAUUUCUGAAGUAAAUACUCCCCGACUUCCCAUUGGAAUUCUUUGCUGUCAAAUCUUAAUGUUACACUUGACUGACUCUUGUUAAUCUGUAAAAUUUCAGUUCUAUCUUUGUCAAAGGCAAAAACUUAUGGAUGAAUAUUUGCACACAGAAAUAUAAUUAUAAGGGAAAAUGUUCCAAGGGUUUCAGUUGUUUGUACAUCAACUGGCACAAAGUUUAGAAAAACAAAACACUAGAGGUCAACUGGUGGGAUGUAUUCUACCAAAGAGUGACAAAAAAAGGAUGGAUAUAAACAUGAAAUUGUAACGUAAAAUCAAAUUGAAUGGAUAUAUAACCUUAAUACGAUAUAAAUUUACAAUUAAAAAAAAUUCAAAAGCAUUCUGUAAUUAGAAGUAAUAUACCAAAACAUCAGAAAGAAAAAAUGGCAUUGGAACAUCAUAAGAUCCUAAUAUGUUAAAUGACUUACAAUUCCAUAUAUUAAGUGCCUAUAGCAGCGAAAACGCUCACACCAACUGAACAAAGAACCAUCAGGCUGUCUCUCAAAAGCAUCAACCUCCUCCCAUUCAAAUUCUAAAUCCAUCCCUGAAACCAAGUGCAGCAUAUUAGUUUUUUAGUAUUACCGAAGUGGAAAUUAAUAGAUACUAGAAUCUAAAAUACAGAACAACCUCAAAUGAAAAAUAAUAAAAUUUGAAAGCCAACUGGAAUAGAACUGCAAGAUCAUUACCAAUAGGAGUUCGUUUUUUAAUAUGCAAUUCAGCUGCAGCCCUCCCCAGUGUUUCCAAAGGUGCUGCCAACUGAAAGAUAGAAAUCUAAGGUCCAGCAACCAAAUUCAAGAAACCAUAUAGACAAAACAUUGCCGAAUUGUAUGUACCAUUUUCAUUCAGCAUAAACAAAAAACGACAUGAAUAAUGCUGGGUUAUCAUAAAUUGCCAAGUAUAGUGCUCAUUUGCAAUUUAGAAUAAAAAAUAGAAACAACAAAUUUUAGCAAAAGGGAACAUUUCUUUUUUGCCAUUAGCAAAAAGAUCUCAAUUUCAUAAGUUUUGUCUACAUGCGUCGGUACAAAAUACAAAGAUUCACUUGGAUUAAUUAAAAAAAUUUCCUAGUAAGCAAGAUUUAUAAAUACAGAGAGAGAUCGUAUCAGAAAUUAUUCACAGAAUCUAUUCUCAUGAGCCAAUUGCACGAAACAAUGUAUGGUAAUAUAAAUCAAUUACUGAAAAUCCAAACGAAAAAUCAAGGCAGGAAAAUAAGAGCAAAAGUAGAAAGACAAACCUUGAUAAACUCAUCAACAACGCCAUGCACUCUCUCAACUACCAAACCCAAAUUUCUAAACUCGUCUACCAACACCUCCACACAGUCAGAAGCUUUAUCUUCUUCCUUCACAUCUCUCUUUGGAACCACAACCCCAAUCUCAAAAGCAGUUUGUUCCUCCUCAAGCACAUUCAUUUCCUGUCCACCAAACAACUUUAACACCUGAGAACAGCCAAAUGGAUCUCUGUCUUUAAGAUCCAAAUGAUGCCCAAACCCACCAAAGAGGUAAACUUUCACAGAAACUGGCUCAAACAGUGAAGUGGGCAAUUGUAUUUUGGAACAACAGAAGCUUGCAAACACCAAAGACAAGAUUUUUCUGUUGAAAUGGCUCAAAUUGCUAAAUGGGUCUAUCAAUUGUGAACCAACGUUGCUCUCUGUGCAGAUCAAACGAAAAGCUGUGUUUAUCAAACAUACAGAUAAAUGUGUCCCAAUGGAAUUGGAAAUGUAGGUUCUUGGAAGAUAAGAGCAGAAGAGAGAGAGAGAGAGAGAGAGAUGAGAGGGAGAACAGAUGGCCGAGCAGUCGGCUAUUAUGGGCGAGCCGUUGCGAGGGAGAGACACAUUGGAUGGUAUGGAAGGAGGAAGACACGUGGGCUCCGAUAUUUGGCAGUUCCUUACGUUUUGCGGUUUGCAGAAGCAGGGAAAGGAGAAGCCGGUACGAUUUCCCAUGUUACCUCGGGUCUGUCCAAUUUGACUACAUAUUUUUGGCCAAUAAAAUAAUUUUUUCUAUAUUUUGGAAGAGUUUUGAAAAUUUUGAAAAUUUGAAUGUCACCCAAUUAAAAAGGUAAACUAAUGCAGUUUUGACAUGGUGUAUGAAUGUUAUGUCAUUAUUAUUAUCUUGUCCAGUAGCAAAUGAUGCUCUCAAACUUCAUGGCCUAUUAUUGUUCAUCUAUUGAUUUCUUCUUUUACCAGUCUCAUUGUUCCCAACUAUUUGAGGAACAAAACCAAGAAUCGGCAAGAACAAACACUAAAAUCUAUGGUGAAAGGGAUAGCGACACUGAUGUUAUCUAUGGAUAUUACUCUUUUACAUGACAUGUUCGAAAACAUUAUUGAAAUUAUUCAUAUUCACGAUUUUCAAUAUAUAUGUAUUGGAAUUUUCUGUUUUUAUUUUUAUUUUUCUUGCGUUUACUAACACCUACGAAAUCAACUAUGUAAUCAAAUGCAUGCAAACCCAAGAAUUAGAUCGAUAUAGUAGUUGAUUUAAUUCUAAUUCAAAAGGACAAUAAUAAUUUGCAAAACAAACUAACCUUAUAGGUGAGGUGAGGGGUUAUGUCUGUCAAGACUCAAGAACUCUUCAACGAUUGUUUAUCUUACUUUUUCCAUGGGCAGAUGUCUUUGUACUUGUUUGCAAUAUUUAAAGAAGAAAGGGGAAACCAGUUUCGGGUAACUUCCCUUUGUUUCCUCUUCCUUGUGAAGGAGGGGAUGUUGCAAGUAAGUGUUUUCUUUUUGGGUUUAGCGGUGUAAAAAACUACCCUACCAUUUUUUAAUGUAAAAACAUAAAUAAAAGUUUGGUUAUGUAUAUCAGUUUUUGUCUAAUAAGUUUUUUGAGCUUUUAUCACAAAACAUCACAAGCUUGCGAAAUUAUUAAGUUUUUUUUUUCUUUCUUAGUAUUCAAUUUGAUUAUCCACGUUUUUCUGCACACAUCAAUGUUGUCUAUAUCGUCUAAUCCCAUUAAAAAUUCUAUUAGUGUGCUAAUGUGACACGCAUAUGCAGCCAUUACCUCACAAAUACGGUGAAAAAACUAAUUUUACAAAACUCAGUGACAAUUUGUGAUAAAAAUAUUUAUAAUUAUAAUUUUUAAGGUUUUUCCCAAUGGGGUCUAGCUCAUUGAAAAAAGGCCUAGGUCUCAGGUUUGAAUUCUCACGGCAUUAUAGUUGUAUGUGUGUGAGAAUAAUCCUCAUCUCAUGUAAUUUAGACUAUCGCUUGUACUCAAAAAAAUAAAAAUAAAACAUUUUAGGUUUUUAACAGCAAGGAGUAAGCCCAAGUCACAUAUUCUUUAUGUCCAGUCUAAAACAAAACAAUCCGAUACUUCACAAAAAAGCGGCCCAACAAAGGAAAAGUAGGAAACUUCGACUAGUUGACUUCCCUCUGAGACAGACGCGGAACGCGUAAAUCGCAAAUCCAAAACACACAAAUACGGAACCUUUCUCCGAUUUAAAACCAAAACCCUAGAAAAUCAAAUCCCCAAAAUCCACCAUGGGAAACACCGAGAAGCUGAUGAACCAGAUCAUGGAGCUGAAAUUUACGUCCAAGUCGCUUCAGCGCCAAUCCAGAAAGUGCGAGAAAGAGGAGAAAGCCGAGAAGCUGAAGAUCAAGAAGGCCAUGGAAAAAGGCAACGUUGACGGCGCUCGGAUCUACGCCGAGAACGCGAUCCGAAAGCGCACAGAGCAAAUGAACUAUCUCCGGCUCGCUUCCCGGCUCGACGCUGUGGUGGCUCGGCUCGACACCCAGGCCAAGAUGUUCACCAUCAAUAAGUCCAUGGGAAAUAUUGUCAAAUCACUCGAAUCGUCGCUGGCCACCGGAAACCUCCAGAAGAUGUCGGAGACCAUGGACUCGUUCGAGAAGCAGUUCGUGAACAUGGAGGUCCAGGCCGAGUUCAUGGAAACCGCCAUGGCUGGCUCCACCUCGCUUUCGACUCCAGAGGGUGAGGUCAAUAGCUUGAUGCAACAGGUCGCCGAUGACUAUGGGCUUGAGGUUUCUGUGGGCCUACCUCAGCCAGCUGCCCAUGCCGUGCCGGCCAAGGAAACCGAGAAGGUCGACGAGGACGACCUCUCCAGGAGGCUUGCGGAGCUCAAGGCUAGAGGUUAGAAUAGGGAAGGCGAUCAGC
This 16667-nucleotide long non-coding RNA is filed under the name Prunus persica (peach). RNAcentral describes it as "long non-coding RNA (PPER_LNC002949)". The stretch from base 895 to 987 matches the Rfam family "Small nucleolar RNA R24". The record is from RNAcentral. Lineage: Eukaryota; Viridiplantae; Streptophyta; Magnoliopsida; Rosales; Rosaceae.